CUGAUGACUUUGGCGUUGCAGCACCGAAGGAUUCGGUUCGGAUCAAGUAGGAUCGACUCCAAGUUGCAGAUGUGGAUAUAUUUCUCACGAAUUUGGCGUUGCAGCAUUGAAGGAUUUGGGCCAAGCAGAAUCGACUCGAAAAUGUGGUAUUUCUCACGAUUUGGCGUUGCAGCACCGAAGGAUUCGGUUCGGGCCAAACAGGAUCGAUUCGAAGGUCCGAGAUGACUGAUCCUGAAUCAGCGAUAUUGGUGAGUCAAAUUUAAGGUACUAAAUCGCUAUCUUUGAAAUCAAUGCGA
Long non-coding RNA from Nylanderia fulva, 296 nucleotides. RefSeq lists it as uncharacterized. NCBI's taxonomy places the organism in Eukaryota, Metazoa, Arthropoda, Insecta, Hymenoptera, Formicidae. The record is from RefSeq and is a predicted model, not a curated record.